RNAcentral lists this ribosomal RNA (481 nucleotides) under uncultured bacterium. RNAcentral describes it as "partial 16S ribosomal RNA". It matches the Rfam family "Bacterial small subunit ribosomal RNA", at positions 30 to 507 of the family's 1533-position model. The record is from RNAcentral.
UUGAACGCUGGCGGCAUGCCUUACCCAUGCCAGUCGAACGGUAACAGGUCUUCGGAUGCUGACGAGUGGCGAACGGGUGAGUAAUACAUCGGAACGUGCCCGAUCGUGGGGGAUAACGAGGCGAAAGCUUUGCUAAUACCGCAUACGAUCUACGGAUGAAAGCGGGGGAUCUUCGGACCUCGCGCGGACGGAGCGGCCGAUGGCAGAUUAGGUAGUUGGUGGGAUAAAAGCUUACCAAGCCGACGAUCUGUAGCUGGUCUGAGAGGAUGAUCAGCCACACUGGGACUGAGACACGGCCCAGACUCCUACGGGAGGCAGCAGUGGGGAAUUUUGGACAAUGGGCGAAAGCCUGAUCCAGCCAUGCCGCGUGCAGGAUGAAGGCCUUCGGGUUGUAAACUGCUUUUGUACGGAACGAAAAGCCUCUUUCUAAUAAAGAGAGGUCAUGACGGUACCGUAAGAAUAAGCACCGGCUAACUACGUG